UCCUGGCUCAGAUUGAACGCUGGCGGCAUGCUUUACACAUGCAAGUCGAACGGCAGCGGGGGCUUCGGCCUGCCGGCGAGUGGCGAACGGGUGAGUAAUGCAUCGGAACGUGCCCAUGUCGUGGGGGAUAACGUAGCGAAAGCUACGCUAAUACCGCAUACGCCCUGAGGGGGAAAGCGGGGGAUUCUUCGGAACCUCGCGCGAUUGGAGCGGCCGAUGUCGGAUUAGCUAGUAGGUGAGGUAAAGGCUCACCUAGGCGACGAUCCGUAGCGGGUCUGAGAGGAUGAUCCGCCACACUGGGACUGAGACACGGCCCAGACUCCUACGGGAGGCAGCAGUGGGGAAUUUUGGACAAUGGGCGCAAGCCUGAUCCAGCCAUGCCGCGUGAGUGAAGAAGGCCUCGG
Molecule: ribosomal RNA, 404 nt
Filed under: uncultured bacterium
Lineage: Bacteria
Description: bacterial SSU rRNA
Rfam family: Bacterial small subunit ribosomal RNA
Source: RNAcentral